AGUCAGGAACCAUGCGAGGAGAGACCGCCCAACCCCGCCAGGUCCGGAAGGAAGCAACGGCAAGUGGUUUUCUUCUGCGCCGUGGCCUCCCUGUCUGCG
RNAcentral lists this signal recognition particle RNA (99 nucleotides) under Treponema sp. RNAcentral describes it as "signal recognition particle sRNA small type". It matches the Rfam family "Bacterial small signal recognition particle RNA". From Rfam's summary of the family: The signal recognition particle (SRP) is a universally conserved ribonucleoprotein involved in the co-translational targeting of proteins to membranes. Lineage: Bacteria; Pseudomonadati; Spirochaetota; Spirochaetia; Treponematales; Treponemataceae. The record is from RNAcentral.